Molecule: small nucleolar RNA, 212 nt
Organism: Sorex fumeus (smoky shrew)
Lineage: Eukaryota; Metazoa; Chordata; Mammalia; Eulipotyphla; Soricidae
Product: small nucleolar RNA U3
Exons: 1
Source: RefSeq, a predicted model, not a curated record
AAGACUAUACUUUCAGGGAUCAUUGUGGUUCGUUACUAGAGAAGUUCCUCUGAUCUGUAGAGCACCUGAAACCACGGGGAGGAGCCAGAGCAUCCUCUCCUGAGCGGGAAGCCCGUACUUGGUGUUGCUUUUGCAACUGCCUUUAUUUACCAUUGAUGAUGGUCCUUCUCUUCCCUUGGAAGAGGGAAAGGUGAGGACGACGUCUGAGUGGU